AUUGAACGCUGGCGGCAUGCCUUACACAUGCAAGUCGAACGGUAACGCGGGGCAACCUGGCGACGAGUGGCGAACGGGUGAGUAAUAUAUCGGAACGUGCCCAAUAGUGGGGGAUAGCCCGGCGAAAGCCGGAUUAAUACCGCAUACGACCUGAGGGUGAAAGCGGGGGAGUCGCAAGACCUCGCGCUAUUGGAGCGGCCGAUAUCAGAUUAGGUAGUUGGUGGGGUAAAGGCCUACCAAGCCUGCGAUCUGUAGCUGGUCUGAGAGGAUGACCCGCUCGAGUGGGACUGAGACACGGCCCACACACCUACGGGUGGCAGCAGUUGGGAAUCUUGCACAAUGGGGGAAACCCUGAUGCAGCGACGCCGCGUGGAGGAUGAAGGAUCUAGGUCUGUAAACUCCUUUUAUCAGGAAAGACUUAGGACGGUACCUGAUGAAUAAGCCCCGGCUAACUACGUG
RNAcentral lists this ribosomal RNA (459 nucleotides) under uncultured bacterium. Its description in RNAcentral is "bacterial SSU rRNA". It matches the Rfam family "Bacterial small subunit ribosomal RNA", at positions 30 to 507 of the family's 1533-position model. The record is from RNAcentral.